This 369-nucleotide ribosomal RNA is filed under the name Triticum aestivum (bread wheat). RNAcentral describes it as "partial small subunit ribosomal RNA". Lineage: Eukaryota; Viridiplantae; Streptophyta; Magnoliopsida; Poales; Poaceae. The record is from RNAcentral.
AUGGCCGGCGUUAGGAGCCUCGUGCUGCUCCUCCUGGUGCUCGCCGUCGCGCUGUCCGCCUCCGCCUCGUCCAUCGCCGGCGGGGACCACCUGCAGCUCGGCCUCCUCUCCGGCGGCGCUGGCCGCGGGGAGUGCAGGGGCACCGUGGCCGAGUGCGGCGGGGAGGACGCGGAGGGGGAGCUCGGGUCCGCGUCGGCCGAGGCGCACCGCCGCGUGCUGCAGGGCCGCGGCUACAUCAGCUACGGCGCGCUGCGCAGGGGCACCGUCCCCUGCAACCGCCGCGGCGCCAGCUACUACAACUGCCGCCCCGGCGCCCAGGCCAACCCCUACCACCGCGGAUGCUCCCGCAUCACCCGCUGCCGCGGCUAA